This 24-nucleotide non-coding RNA is filed under the name Arabidopsis thaliana (thale cress). The record is from RNAcentral. Lineage: Eukaryota; Viridiplantae; Streptophyta; Magnoliopsida; Brassicales; Brassicaceae.
UGACCUCACACGCGGAUAAGGUAG